Molecule: transfer RNA, 62 nt
Filed under: human gut metagenome
Rfam family: tRNA
About the family: Transfer RNA (tRNA) molecules are approximately 80 nucleotides in length.
Source: RNAcentral
CUUAGCUCAGCUGGUAGAGCAACGGUCUUGUAAACCGUAGGUCGCGAGUUCGAGUCUCGCAG